CUCCUGCAGGCCCUGGAUCCACUUGGCCAGCGUGGCCUGGUCAUGAGCACCCGCCAUGCAUAUGGCGAAGACAGGGCCUUCCUCCACUGUCAGGAGAGACAGGCCCUCAGUUUGUGCAGUAGGGACUGGAGCAGCCCCCUCAAGCCCACAUCCCUUCCAGGCCAAGGAUGGGGGCUUUAAGCUCCCUUUGUCCUUUUCUGUGUUUCCAAGCCUUUGCACAUGCUCUGCCUAGCCUGCCUGUCCCAUGCUUCACCUAGGUGACACCUCCUGCCUCAAGUUUCCACCAGGAAAUCCUCCUGACUCCCACCUGAGGCUGAGUUGUGUGCUCCUCCCCAAGAAUGUAACUUGUCUGAUCCACCGCUGGCCUGAGGGAAGGGACUGGGCCUGUCCUGGUCACGCCCAGUAGCCAGCACAGAGGUGCUCCAUAAACGUUUGAAGGAGGAUGUUUGAGGGCUGACAGGUCUGGAGCCCCUGAGUGGACCUUACCUACGAUGUGGGGCUCCGUGGGAUCCGUGGCAUCUGUGGAGUCUUUGGACAAAGGCAUCUGCAAGGAAAGUCGGAGUGGAAGCUUGCAGCCCCCACAGCCCCUACGGAGGAGCCCGGGAGAGAGAAAUGGGGAUUCCAGUGAAUUCAGGACCCCUCUUGGGUCUGUCUACUGGGCCUCCAACAAUCACUCGAGCCCACCGCCUUCUUGCUUCUAUCUAAUUGGGACAGCGAUCCCGCACUCCUGCUGCCGUGGGUAGUGGAGGAAGAUGCUGUGGAAGAUGUUGCGAGGCCGGAAGACCUCCUUGGGGAAGAUGUCAAGCAGCAGGUUGUAGAUAGC
This is a long non-coding RNA of Aethalodelphis obliquidens (Pacific white-sided dolphin), 823 nucleotides long. RefSeq lists it as uncharacterized. The transcript is spliced from 3 exons. The record is from RefSeq and is a predicted model, not a curated record. NCBI's taxonomy places the organism in Eukaryota, Metazoa, Chordata, Mammalia, Artiodactyla, Delphinidae.